GGGUUGUGAGGUUAAGCGACUAAGCGUACACGGUGGAUGCCCUGGCAGUCAGAGGCGAUGAAGGGCGUGCUAAUCUGCGAUAAGCGCCGGUAAGGUGAUAUGAACCGUUAUAACCGGCGAUACCCGAAUGGGGAAACCCAGUGUGAUUCGUCACACUAUCAUUAACUGAAUCCAUAGGUUAAUGAGGCGAACCGGGGGAACUGAAACAUCUAAGUACCCCGAGGAAAAGAAAUCAACCGAGAUUCCCCCAGUAGCGGCGAGCGAACGGGGAGGAGCCCAGAGCCUGAAUCAGCAUGUGUGUUAGUGGAAGCGUCUGGAAAGGCGCGCGAUACAGGGUGACAGCCCCGUACACAAAAGCGCAUGUGCUGUGAGCUCGAUGAGUAGGGCGGGACACGUGGUAUCCUGUCUGAAUAUGGGGGGACCAUCCUCCAAGGCUAAAUACUCCUGACUGACCGAUAGUGAACCAGUACCGUGAGGGAAAGGCGAAAAGAACCCCGGCGAGGGGAGUGAAAAAGAACCUGAAACCGUGUACGUACAAGCAGUGGGAGCNNGGGCGUUAAGUUGCAGGGUAUAGACCCGAAACCCGGUGAUCUAGCCAUGGGCAGGUUGAAGGUUGGGUAACACUAACUGGAGGACCGAACCGACUAAUGUUGAAAAAUUAGCGGAUGACCUGUGGCUGGGGGUGAAAGGCCAAUCAAACCGGGAGAUAGCUGGUUCUCCCCGAAAGCUAUUUAGGUAGCGCCUCGUGAAUUCAUCUCCGGGGGUAGAGCACUGUUUCGGCUAGGGGGCCAUCCCGGCUUACCAACCCGAUGCAAACUGCGAAUACCGGAGAAUGUUAUCACGGGAGACACACGGCGGGUGCUAACGUCCGUCGUGAAGAGGGAAACAACCCAGACCGCCAGCUAAGGUCCCAAAGUCAUGGUUAAGUGGGAAACGAUGUGGGAAGGCCCAGACAGCCAGGAUGUUGGCUUAGAAGCAGCCAUCAUUUAAAGAAAGCGUAAUAGCUCACUGGUCGAGUCGGCCUGCGCGGAAGAUGUAACGGGGCUAAACCAUGCACCGAAGCUGCGGCAGCGANNUGCUGGAGGUAUCAGAAGUGCGAAUGCUGACAUAAGUAACGAUAAAGCGGGUGAAAAGCCCGCUCGCCGGAAGACCAAGGGUUCCUGUCCAACGUUAAUCGGGGCAGGGUGAGUCGACCCCUAAGGCGAGGCCGAAAGGCGUAGUCGAUGGGAAACGGGUUAAUAUUCCCGUACUUGGUGUUACUGCGAAGGGGGGACGGAGAAGGCUAUGUUGGCCGGGCGACGGUUGUCCCGGUUUAAGCGUGUAGGUGUGUGUUCCAGGUAAAUCCGGUUCACUUUAACACUGAGGCGUGACGACGAGGCACUACGGUGCUGAAGCAACAAAUGCCCUGCUUCCAGGAAAAGCCUCUAAGCAUCAGGUAACAUCAAAUCGUACCCCAAACCGACACAGGUGGUCAGGUAGAGAAUACCAAGGCGCUUGAGAGAACUCGGGUGAAGGAACUAGGCAAAAUGGUGCCGUAACUUCGGGAGAAGGCACGCUGACACGUAGGUGAAGUGAUUUACUCAUGGAGCUGAAGUCAGUCGAAGAUACCAGCUGGCUGCAACUGUUUAUUAAAAACACAGCACUGUGCAAACACGAAAGUGGACGUAUACGGUGUGACGCCUGCCCGGUGCCGGAAGGUUAAUUGAUGGGGUCAGCGCAAGCGAAGCUCCUGAUCGAAGCCCCGGUAAACGGCGGCCGUAACUAUAACGGUCCUAAGGUAGCGAAAUUCCUUGUCGGGUAAGUUCCGACCUGCACGAAUGGCGUAAUGAUGGCCAGGCUGUCUCCACCCGAGACUCAGUGAAAUUGAACUCGCUGUGAAGAUGCAGUGUACCCGCGGCAAGACGGAAAGACCCCGUGAACCUUUACUAUAGCUUGACACUGAACAUUGAGCCUUGAUGUGUAGGAUAGGUGGGAGGCUUUGAAGUGUGGACGCCAGUCUGCAUGGAGCCGACCUUGAAAUACCACCCUUUAAUGUUUGAUGUUCUAACGUGGACCCGUAAUCCGGGUUGCGGACAGUGUCUGGUGGGUAGUUUGACUGGGGCGGUCUCCUCCUAAAGAGUAACGGAGGAGCACGAAGGUUGGCUAAUCCUGGUCGGACAUCAGGAGGUUAGUGCAAUGGCAUAAGCCAGCUUGACUGCGAGCGUGACGGCGCGAGCAGGUGCGAAAGCAGGUCAUAGUGAUCCGGUGGUUCUGAAUGGAAGGGCCAUCGCUCAACGGAUAAAAGGUACUCCGGGGAUAACAGGCUGAUACCGCCCAAGAGUUCAUAUCGACGGCGGUGUUUGGCACCUCGAUGUCGGCUCAUCACAUCCUGGGGCUGAAGUAGGUCCCAAGGGUAUGGCUGUUCGCCAUUUAAAGUGGUACGCGAGCUGGGUUUAGAACGUCGUGAGACAGUUCGGUCCCUAUCUGCCGUGGGCGCUGGAGAACUGAGGGGGGCUGCUCCUAGUACGAGAGGACCGGAGUGGACGCAUCACUGGUGUUCGGGUUGUCAUGCCAAUGGCACUGCCCGGUAGCUAAAUGCGGAAGAGAUAAGUGCUGAAAGCAUCUAAGCACGAAACUUGCCCCGAGAUGAGUUCUCCCUGAGACUU
RNAcentral lists this ribosomal RNA (2645 nucleotides) under Salmonella enterica subsp. enterica serovar Typhimurium. RNAcentral's name for it is "bacterial LSU rRNA". It matches the Rfam family "Bacterial large subunit ribosomal RNA". The record is from RNAcentral. Lineage: Bacteria; Pseudomonadati; Pseudomonadota; Gammaproteobacteria; Enterobacterales; Enterobacteriaceae.